ACACUCAUUCUCUCUUUUGGGCCUAUUGGUACCCAGGGAAAUUGAUGAGUUAAUCUAUUUUCUUAAAUACCAGGGAGAGAUUGAACAUUAUUUAAUCUGUGGGCUCAAAAUGGCCUUAAAGUUCCUGCAUUUCUACUGAUAUCACUAGUUAGGCCCUGGAAAAAAUAGGACUCCAUUCAGAUUCAGAUCAUCUUCCGUAUCAGUAAUCGUAUUUAAAUAAGCGUGUGGACUGCAGGAAAGACAAUUAUCCUUUGGUAUCUACGGUCUUAACAUAAAACCAAAUUUCACCACUGAAGUCAAGUCUGACUGCUAGAGUCAUUAGAUUAGAAGCUUCUAUAACAUUAACCCCAGUGUGAGCUGUAUUUUACAUCAGAAAUGGAGGGCUUGCCAUCUUUACAGUUGCCAAUUACAAGAAAUUUCUUCAGUGUUCUCGGAUGCCUGUGAAAAGCUGUUUUGGAAAGAUAUAAUUAAUCACUGUCCAUUUAAAUAGCCAUGAGAUUUCAUUUCAGACUAGCUUGGGAGGCGGAAACAGACUCUUCAAGGUGGACAUGCAUGAGUUUUGGGAUUUUAGAGAUUAUCACUCCCUGCUCUGAGGGAAUAAUGCGGUUUUGGAGGAAGGGACACUGUACUCAGGUCUAGCCUCUGUGUCAGGUGUUUUGUACAUGAUCUUAUUUAAUCCUCCAAACAGUCUUUUGUGAUAGGGGACAUUGUUAAUCCUUUUUUGGCGGAGGAGAAAGACUGGGUUUAGAAUUCUGUCAGUCUGGCCAUCAAGUCAUGUCUCUUCUGUGAGACCACCGCGCAGUCCCCAGGCAGCACACGCCACCCCAGGAGGGUCCCAUCAUGCCUCAGGAGGGGGAGAGGGCGCAACCUGUCUCCUCUUUAAGUGCAACUUACACAGAACCUACAUGGAGAUCUUUAAGGUGGUAAAUUACCAAGCAGAGCCCAAACAAAUCAAUGCUCUACCUCCAAAACGAAUGGAAAGGAAAUUAGACCAAUAAGUGUGAGAAUGGAGGUAAAAAUCUGAUUUGCAAUUUGACUGAGACUACAAAGCCAUUCCUCAGACUCAGCAGCCUGCUGUACUAGGGAACUUGACCUGCCAAUAAAAGGAUUGGUCCUCUCACCUAAGGCCUUUUCUCAUCUCUGCUUUUAACUGCUUUUCAUUUCCCUAAGACUUAAGGCUAAUUUCCAGGUUUCAAAAUUCAGUAAACCCUUCUGCCCAGGAGCUGAUGGCUAGAGCAGUUUCCAGAAGGAGAGCUUGAGGUCCUCUUCCUGCUACAGUUCUACCCACACAUGUGUAUGUACCUGAACAGAUCUCCGAGGGGCCUAGGAAAGGUAUACACAGACAGGAGAAGGAGAAAGAGAGAAGUACAACAUUUCCCUUUUUAAUUUAAGUGAUUACAUUUUUAACAUAUUUUUCCAAUAACUACAAUGAGAACAUCUACUCUGUGAGGGGAAUUUGUUUUAAAGGUUCUGAUUUCUAUAUCCUUUAUAUAACUGCCUCAAGUGUCCAUAACUUAGAUACUGCGCUGGGUUAGCUAUCUAGGCUUUUACAUUUUCCUUUUCCAAGUAUUUUCAAAUAUUACUAGUUUGGGGUUUUCUUGUGUUCUUACUCUAAUGGUCAUAAUAAAAAGAUUUAAUAUUUUGUUAUCUUUCUGAUCAUUGUAUAACAAAGAAAAACAAAAAACAUCCCAGGUCCUCAAGAACUUACCUUCUCUGGAUGAAGAGCUCUAGGGUAAAGGUUUCCCCUUCCUGGCAGAUGACUCAGUUGUUAUAAACCUUAAUGACAGUGAUUUGGUACACCUUAAAGCAGCUAGGAUUGCGAAACAUUUCACUUUAGAUGGAUCGUUGGAAAAGGAUUGUGUGUAAUAAGUACGUGGAAUUGUCAGGAUAAUGCACCAGCUGAUUAGGCAGCGCUUGUACAGUCAGUAACAAACACUGGCUUAUCUGUAAACCUUAGCCACGACAGCACUCUCCUCAUGAGGAAAUUCUCCGUUUCCAGUUUGGCAGUAUUUCGUGAAUUAAUUCUCGUAGUCCUCUGACAGCUUAUAAACCAAUAUUAGGGUAAAUAUAAAAAAGGCAGUUGGCUGGGCACCAAGGCUUAUGCUUGUAAUUCCAGCACUUUGGGAGGCCAAGGCGGGAGGAUUGUUUGAGGCCAAGAGUUUGAGGCCAGCUUGGGCAACAUAGAGAGACCCUAUCCUAAAAAAAAAAAAAAAAA
RNAcentral lists this long non-coding RNA (2215 nucleotides) under Macaca fascicularis (crab-eating macaque). RNAcentral describes it as "lncRNA (ENSMFAG00000048061.1)". The record is from RNAcentral. Lineage: Eukaryota; Metazoa; Chordata; Mammalia; Primates; Cercopithecidae.